RNAcentral lists this ribosomal RNA (463 nucleotides) under uncultured bacterium. Its description in RNAcentral is "partial 16S ribosomal RNA". It matches the Rfam family "Bacterial small subunit ribosomal RNA", at positions 28 to 507 of the family's 1533-position model. The record is from RNAcentral.
GAUGAACGCUGACAGAAUGCUUAACACAUGCAAGUCUUUGGCGAAGCUGUGCUCGCACAGCCUAGCCAAGGCGGACGGGUGAGUAACGCGUAAGGAACUUGCCCUGCAGUCAGGGAUAACAGACGGAAACGACUGAGAAGACCUGGUAAAGUCAGGCGGACUCAUGUCCAGCCUGAUGAAAAGAGAUGCUGCAGGAGAGCCUUGCGUCCUAUUAGCUUGUUGGUGGGGUAACGGCCCACCAAGGCGAUGAUAGGUAGCCGGCCUGAGAGGGUGGACGGCCACAAGGGGACUGAGAUACGGCCCUUACUCCUACGGGAGGCAGCAGUGGGGAAUAUUGGACAAUGGGGGCAACCCUGAUCCAGCAAUUCUGUGUGCACGAUGAAGGUUUUCGGAUUGUAAAGUGCUUUCAGCAGGGAAGAAAAAAAUGACGGUACCUGCAGAAGAAGCGACGGCUAAAUACGUG